UGCAGGCUCUUCGUUCUCCUGUAUUGUGUUUUGUGAAAGCGGUGUUUCUGCCCCCUCCGACCUUUCUGCAGUGGAGAGGCUGGGGGGAGAGCUUGACUCGGUUUACUCCGUCAUCGGUCACAUUCCCGUCAGAAAGCGAGAUGGAAGUUCGAAGCAAGAUCAGUAUAACUCAUUCUUGUAUUGGAGAGCACCAUUGCCUACAAUUGAUUUAUCUGAUAUUCAGAGCCUGCAUGGAGACACUACAUCUGCUGAUAAAACUCCUUCAAGGACUGAUACCAUGGAGACUGAGAUGGAGACCUGAUCAGUUGUUUCAUAGUUAUACAUCUACUUGCAGGAAGGUCGUUUCUGUUUGGAUUCAGUUUUUCCUGUGUGGGAGAAAAAACAACGUGCUUCUGUUUUCAUGAAGAAACAGUGUUAUAUCAAUCUGAAAAGGCAAGUCAGAGCUGUCAGGUUGGUGGAAUCAUCACAAUUAGGUACUGUUUAGCUGGCUGGAGUUGUGAACUUACUGAUUUUGUGUGGAGGAGGCUAUGUUUGUUUAGCAUGAAGGCUUGAAUUCAUGGAAGCAAAGUAGAAGAAAACAACAGAAAAAUUAGUUAACUUCUGGAUGUAGUUAUAAAAAACAGCUGGAUAAGUUACACGUGGAAAGGAAAUGGAAAAUAGUUUAGCCUGUCCUGAACAAGAAGUGUAACUAUUGUACCAAAAUAUGAAAUUCUUCGUCGUAAAGCACAGAAACUAGUACUUUUUAGUGUUAUUUUUUUUUUUCAGUGUAAUAACCUAAGCCAAAAAAUAUAAGUCCACCAAAACCAGACAAAACAUUCCCUUUUCUAUGCAAACCAAAAAUGAGUGUGUUGGGGAUGGGAAGGGAAAAGGGGAUCUAGUCUAUAAGCUGCCAGUGUUCUGAAUGAUCAGUCUUGUGAUCACUCAAAGCAGCUGGUUUUUUUUCUAUUUUUAAUCUAUUUUUUAAUCUAUUCCAAAGUUAAUGAUUUUCUUACUCUUUGUGAAAUUAAACUAGCUGGUAAUGUGGAAAUAGCAGCUUUGUGCAGGGUCAUGAAAGGUUAAUGCAGUAUGAAUUGUGUACCUAGUUGAUUGAGUUUUAGUUUUUUGCAGAUGUUGUGGAUUUUGCAAAAAUCUUUUUUUUAUAGAAGUUCAAUUAGUUCAUGUUUUGUUCUUUUUUUUUUGCUGUGAAAUAUGAUUGUAAUGCGCUUUUUUGUAAUUUAUUAACAAGUUAAAAUACAAUUAGACAUAUAUGUUUUCAGUAAUAGGUUGAAAUUUAAAGUUGUAUUGGCAGACUGUCAGACUUGUGAAUGUGACUUGUUUUUAGGUGAGUUUGUUAUAUUUUUGCUGGAGGCAUCUUAAAAUAAAAUCUUUUUAGUAAUGUAUUUGUCAAUAAAAUUUUGUCUGUGCGCA
Non-coding RNA from Meleagris gallopavo (turkey), 1407 nucleotides. The record is from RefSeq and is a predicted model, not a curated record. NCBI's taxonomy places the organism in Eukaryota, Metazoa, Chordata, Aves, Galliformes, Phasianidae.